This 57-nucleotide transfer RNA is filed under the name Rhabditophanes sp. KR3021. RNAcentral's name for it is "tRNA-His". Lineage: Eukaryota; Metazoa; Nematoda; Chromadorea; Rhabditida; Alloionematidae. The record is from RNAcentral.
AGCUUUAUAGUUUAAAUUUAAAAUGAUUGCUUGUGGUGCAAGAGAUUUUUAGAGCUU